Molecule: non-coding RNA, 98 nt
Organism: Xylaria telfairii
Lineage: Eukaryota; Fungi; Ascomycota; Sordariomycetes; Xylariales; Xylariaceae
Source: the annotation of a GenBank genome assembly
GGUGAGAUGGCCGAGUGGUUAUGGCGCUGCGUUCAGGAUUAUCUGAACAAAAUUUCGCAGUGGAGCAAUCCGCGUGGGUUCGAGUCCCACUCUCAUCA